RNAcentral lists this long non-coding RNA (823 nucleotides) under Glycine max (soybean). Its description in RNAcentral is "long non-coding RNA (GMAX_LNC002291)". Lineage: Eukaryota; Viridiplantae; Streptophyta; Magnoliopsida; Fabales; Fabaceae. The record is from RNAcentral.
UCGGUUUGCCUGGCGGGGGCUCUGAAGUGGAAACUCCAAGGGCCACUGGGAAGAGAGGGUUCUCUGAGACCGUUGAUCUGAAGCUUAAUCUUCAGACCAAGGAAGAUCUGAAUGAGAAUCUGAAGAAUGUCUCAAAGGAGAAGACUCUCCUUAAAGAUCCUGCUAAGCCGCCGGCUAAGUAAGUGUUUUUCUCACUUUUCUUUUGUAAUUGAAAGCCUUUGCAUGCUUCUGUUCUCUAGUCUUUUCUUUCUUGCAUCAAUAGUGUGUUUAAUUUGAUUCCAUAUCCCAUACAAGAUUUUUCAUGUUUACUAACAAGUUUACUAAGAAGUUAAUAGUUGUAACUUUCAUAUUACAAACGUAUUUCUAACUUCUCAACGAGUUUCUUAGCAUCCAAAGUUGAUGUACUUUGUAAUUUCUUAGUUUGUAUUUUUUUUAUCAGUAAAUAUUAAUUAUUAAUUUUUUUGUUAGGAAAGAAUCAAAUGACCUUUUCUUUUUCCUUUCUCUUUUAUCACUCAUCCAAUCUUAUAACUACUUUAUAACUUCUUAGUGAUUAUCUAUUAUCAAUGUUAUAAUAUACAGUUUGCAUAAGGUGUUUGCAACAUACAUAUUAGAAAGUGAAGAUUGAUGGGGAUUUGGAAUAAAAUUUUCAGGGCUCAAGUGGUUGGUUGGCCACCAGUGAGAUCAUACAGGAAGAACAUGAUGGCAGUACAGAAGGUUAGCAAUGAGGAAGUAGCUGAGAAGACAACAAGCAGCACUAUUGCUAAUUCUGGGGCGUUUGUCAAGGUUUCCAUGGAUGGAGCACCUUACCUUCGCAAGGUGGACC